CCCUUAGAUGUUCUGGGCCGCACGCGCGCUACACUGACGAAUGCAACGAGCUUAUAACCUUGGCCGAAAGGUCUGGGUAAUCUCCAAAUUUCGUCGUGAUGGGGAUAGAUUAUUGCAAUUAUUAAUCUUCAACGAGGAAUGCCUAGUAAGCGCAAGUCAUCAGCUUGCGUUGAUUACGUCCCUGCCCUUUGUACACACCGCCCGUCGCUCCUACCGAUUGAAUGGUCCGGUGAAGCGUUCGGACCGUGGCCUUUGGACGGUUCCCGAUCGUUGCUGCGGAAAGUUUAGUGAACCUUAUCACUUAGAGGAAGGAGAAGUCGUAACA
Molecule: ribosomal RNA, 325 nt
Filed under: uncultured eukaryote
Lineage: Eukaryota
Description: partial 18S ribosomal RNA
Rfam family: Eukaryotic small subunit ribosomal RNA
Source: RNAcentral